RNAcentral lists this ribosomal RNA (249 nucleotides) under uncultured Actinomycetales bacterium. RNAcentral describes it as "partial 16S ribosomal RNA". It matches the Rfam family "Bacterial small subunit ribosomal RNA", at positions 82 to 334 of the family's 1533-position model. Lineage: Bacteria; Bacillati; Actinomycetota; Actinomycetes; Actinomycetales. The record is from RNAcentral.
CGGAGGUACUCGAGUGGCGAACGGGUUAGUAACACGUGGGUGAUCUGCCCUGCACUCUGGGAUAAGCCUGGGAAACUGGGUCUAAUACCGGAUAGGACCAUGCUUUAGUGUGUGUGGUGGAAAGUUUUUUCGGUGUAGGAUGAGCCCGCGGCCUAUCAGCUUGUUGGUGGGGUAAUGGCCUACCAAGGCGGCGACGGGUAGCCGGACUGAGAGGUUGGUCGGCCACAUUGGGACUGAGAUACGGCCCAG